Molecule: ribosomal RNA, 200 nt
Filed under: uncultured bacterium
Lineage: Bacteria
Description: partial 16S ribosomal RNA
Rfam family: Bacterial small subunit ribosomal RNA
Source: RNAcentral
UACGAAUGGAGCAAGCGUUGUUCGGAAUCACUGGGCUUAAAGCGUGCGCAGGCGGACUUGAAAGUCAGGAGUGAAAUCCCAGGGCUCAACCCUGGAACUGCUUCUGAAACUCCAAGUCUAGAAUCCGAUAGAGGUUAGGGGAAUUCCUAGUGUAGAGGUGAAAUUCGCAGAUAUUAGGAGGAACACCAGUGGCGUAGGCG